CCUACGGGAGGCAGCAGUGAGGAAUAUUGGUCAAUGGGAGAGAUCCUGAACCAGCCAAGCCGCGUGAGGGAAGACGGCCCUAUGGGUUGUAAACCUCUUUUGUCGGAGAACAAAACCCGGGACGUGUCCCGGACUGCGUGUAUCCGACGAAAAAGCAUCGGCUAACUCCGUGCCAGCAGCCGCGGUAAUACGGGAGGUCCGGGCGUUAGCCGGAUUUAUUGGGUUUAAAGGGAGCGUAGGCCGCAUUUCAAGCGUGCUGUGAAAUGGCCGGGCUCAACCCGGGCCUUGCAGCGCGAACUGGCGUGUGGGAGUCCGCGGAAAGCAGGCGGAAUUCGUCGGGUAGCGGUGAAAUGCUUAGAUAUGACGAAGAACCCCGAUUGCGAAGGCAGCGUGCUGCAGCGGAACUGACGCUGAUGCUCGAAAGCGCGGGUAUCGAACAGGAUUAGAUACCCCAGUAGUC
This 460-nucleotide ribosomal RNA is filed under the name uncultured bacterium. RNAcentral describes it as "partial 16S ribosomal RNA". It matches the Rfam family "Bacterial small subunit ribosomal RNA", at positions 338 to 795 of the family's 1533-position model. The record is from RNAcentral.